This 77-nucleotide transfer RNA is filed under the name Lancefieldella rimae. Its description in RNAcentral is "tRNA-Pro(cgg)". It matches the Rfam family "tRNA". Rfam says of the family: Transfer RNA (tRNA) molecules are approximately 80 nucleotides in length. Their secondary structure includes four short double-helical elements and three loops (D, anti-codon, and T loops). Further hydrogen bonds mediate the characteristic L-shaped molecular structure. tRNAs have two regions of fundamental functional importance: the anti-codon, which is responsible for specific mRNA codon recognition, and the 3' end, to which the tRNAs corresponding amino acid is attached (by aminoacyl-tRNA synthetases). tRNAs cope with the degeneracy of the genetic code in two manners: having more than one tRNA (with a specific anti-codon) for a particular amino acid; and 'wobble' base-pairing, i.e. permitting non-standard base-pairing at the 3rd anti-codon position. RNAcentral also lists the same sequence under 3 other names. Lineage: Bacteria; Bacillati; Actinomycetota; Coriobacteriia; Coriobacteriales; Atopobiaceae. The record is from RNAcentral.
CGGGACGUGGCGCAGUUUGGUAGCGCGCACGGUUCGGGACCGUGAGGUCGCUGGUUCGAAUCCAGUCGUCCCGACCA